This 57-nucleotide transfer RNA is filed under the name Ictidomys tridecemlineatus (thirteen-lined ground squirrel). RNAcentral describes it as "Spermophilus tridecemlineatus (thirteen-lined ground squirrel) tRNA". It matches the Rfam family "tRNA", at positions 8 to 63 of the family's 71-position model. Rfam says of the family: Transfer RNA (tRNA) molecules are approximately 80 nucleotides in length. Their secondary structure includes four short double-helical elements and three loops (D, anti-codon, and T loops). Lineage: Eukaryota; Metazoa; Chordata; Mammalia; Rodentia; Sciuridae. The record is from Rfam by way of RNAcentral.
UGGCUCAGUGGUCGAGUGUGUGCCUACCAAGCACAAGGCCCUGGGUUCUAUCCCCAG